CCUACGGGAGGCAGCAGUGAGGAAUAUUGGUCAAUGGGCGCGAGCCUGAACCAGCCAAGUAGCGUGAAGGAUGACUGCCCUGCGGGUUGUAAACUUCUUUUAUAAAGGAAUAAAGUGAGGCACGUGUGCCUGUUUGUAUGUACUUUAUGAAUAAGGAUCGGCUAACUCCGUGCCAGCAGCCGCGGUAAUACGGAGGAUCCGAGCGUUAUCCGGAUUUAUUGGGUUUAAAGGGAGCGUAGAUGGGUUGUUAAGUCAGUGGUGAAAGGUUGCGGCUCAACCGUAAAAUUGCAAUUGAUACUGGCAGCCUUGAGUACAGGUGAGGUAGGCGGAAUUCGCGGUGUAGCGGUGAAAUGCUUAGGUAUCACGAAGAACUCCGAUUGCGAAGGCAGCAUACUAAACUGCCACUGACAUUGAUGCUCGAAAGUGUGGGUAUCAAACAGGAUUAGAUACCCCGGUAGUC
RNAcentral lists this ribosomal RNA (460 nucleotides) under uncultured bacterium. RNAcentral describes it as "partial 16S ribosomal RNA". It matches the Rfam family "Bacterial small subunit ribosomal RNA", at positions 338 to 795 of the family's 1533-position model. The record is from RNAcentral.